UGAACGCUGGCGGCGUGCCUAAUACAUGCAAGUCGAGCGAACAGAUGAGGAGCUUGCUCCUCUGACGUUAGCGGCGGACGGGUGAGUAACACGUGGAUAACCUACCUAUAAGACUGGGAUAACUUCGGGAAACCGGAGCUAAUACCGGAUAAUAUAUUGAACCGCAUGGUUCAAUAGUGAAAGACGGUUUUGCUGUCACUUAUAGAUGGAUCCGCGCCGCAUUAGCUAGUUGGUAAGGUAACGGCUUACCAAGGCAACGAUGCGUAGCCGACCUGAGAGGGUGAUCGGCCACACUGGAACUGAGACACGGUCCAGACUCCUACGGGAGGCAGCAGUAGGGAAUCUUCCGCAAUGGGCGAAAGCCUGACGGAGCAACGCCGCGUGAGUGAUGAAGGUCUUCGGAUCGUAAAACUCUGUUAUUAGGGAAGAACAAAUGUGUAAGUAACUAUGCACGUCCUGACGGUACCUAAUCAGAAAGCCACGGCUAACUACGUG
RNAcentral lists this ribosomal RNA (495 nucleotides) under uncultured bacterium. RNAcentral's name for it is "partial 16S ribosomal RNA". It matches the Rfam family "Bacterial small subunit ribosomal RNA", at positions 30 to 507 of the family's 1533-position model. The record is from RNAcentral.